This is a long non-coding RNA of Gasterosteus aculeatus aculeatus (three-spined stickleback), 306 nucleotides long. NCBI's taxonomy places the organism in Eukaryota, Metazoa, Chordata, Actinopteri, Perciformes, Gasterosteidae. The record is from Ensembl.
CUGGUUCUUCAUAUAAGAUCAUCUUUGGAACUGGAACCAGUUUAACCAUUGAACCCAACUGGUUCUGUAAAUAAGAUGUUCUUUGGAGCUGGAACCAGUUUAACCAUUGAACCCAUGUCUGGUUCAUAGUUUCUGUCGCGCUGCAUCUUGUUGUGUGAAUACUGGAGGACGAUUUAAAAUGACCUUUGGCACUGGGACCAGUUUAACCAUUGAACCCAGUAAGUAACGAUAUCAUUUAUUAAUAGUUAUUAUGCCAACGUUCUUUGGAAACGAAACUGACUUGUGAAAUGAAAACAGUCAACAUAU